This is a long non-coding RNA of Manis pentadactyla (Chinese pangolin), 1117 nucleotides long. RefSeq lists it as uncharacterized. The transcript has 6 exons. The record is from RefSeq and is a predicted model, not a curated record. Lineage: Eukaryota; Metazoa; Chordata; Mammalia; Pholidota; Manidae.
GCCUGGGGAACGCGUUACCUUGUUGACCACUGUCCUGGCGGCCCAGACUUGAUCUGGGCUUAGAGCGGGAAAGGUGCGAGUGAGGAGAGAAAGGAAGACGGAUUGCCGCCCCAGCCCCCCGGGCCCCUGGGAGCUGAUGGGUGGCCAUGGAUCUGUAUGUCGGCAACUGCCGCAAGGCUGCCAAAGCCGCGGCCACUAAGGCAGCCGCCUGCAGCCGAACUGCAGGCACGGAGCAGUGCGACAACAGCUCGCAAAAAAACCCACUCCAGAGGUCGGAGCAGCUGAUCUAUUGGAUCUUACUCUUGUGGUUAAACUGCCUGUUAUCCCAGGAAGCAAUAAUGUGUUCUACACUACAGAUAUAAGUGAAAAGCUUUAUCAACCUUCUUAUGAUUUUAACCUGUCUGAUCCUUAUUGUCGACUUUUGGAAACCAGCUAUAAAAGCCUACACACUCCACGUUCAAAAACACACUGUAAGUGAAGAAACACCGUCCAGAGAUGAAAGAAGUGCGGCUACACCACCAGCAGUAAUAAAAAAACAAUUGAAAAACAAGGAAAUAAGUUGUUUGACACCAAGGCAGGCUAUGACAAUUGUGAGAAUGCAUAUUUCCAACAAUGGCUGUUACACAAAAAUAGACAGGCAGCUUCAGAUCAAGAGCUGUUAACCAAGCACAGAUAUUUAGACUUGAUUAGUAGGGAAUUAAGGAAGGUUGACCACAUGGCAGAAAAACAGACCAAACUCCGAAUAAAGGAAGACGGCAUUAUGACCACAUUGGAAGAAAACUUAGUCUCUGUAGACAAGCUGAAGAGGAAUGGAAGACAAAGGAAAUGUUACUUGGGGCAAAGAUUAGAGAAGAUGUAAGAAGAGAAGCAAGAGUUAAGGAACAACAUUAAAAAAUUAGAGAAAUAGCUAACCGGAAGGAAGAGUGAGCUUUUAACAUAAACUAUAGGGGCACAAGGAAAACCUGGAGGUGAUGGAAAUGUUUACUUGGAUUGUGGUGAUGGUUUCAUGAAUUUAUACAUAUGUCAAAACUGAACAAAUGAUAUAUUUAAAUAUGUAUGGCUUAUUGGACUUCAGCUAUACUUCAAUAAAGUUGUUUAAAAAUUCUAUGAUUUCCCU